RNAcentral lists this transfer RNA (73 nucleotides) under Fibrobacter sp. RNAcentral describes it as "tRNA-Thr". It matches the Rfam family "tRNA". Rfam says of the family: Transfer RNA (tRNA) molecules are approximately 80 nucleotides in length. Lineage: Bacteria; Pseudomonadati; Fibrobacterota; Fibrobacteria; Fibrobacterales; Fibrobacteraceae. The record is from RNAcentral.
GCCACUCUAGCUCAGUUGGUAGAGCAGCUGAUUCGUAAUCAGCAGGUCGGCAGUUCAAGUCUGCUGGGUGGCU